GGAAAAAAGUCCACUUCGGAUGUUUCUGGAUAUGCAUCUGGAAAAGAUGCCUCUGGGAAAGGGCUCUCUUCGGACUGAACUCUUCACGGACAGAGUCUCUGCUUUGACAUAGUUUUGGCUUCAGGAACUGAUUUCUUGUUAAUUUAGCAGUAAUUUGAAAAACGACUUCACUGUUGACCAUGAACAUCGCGGCGGAGAUCAUUACGACUCGCCACUGCAAACGGACCUCAUUUCACGUUAACCACAUGUGACACCGUCACUCCCGAGAACGCUGCCUGACUGUAAAUCCUCGCAGGACGACUGAACUCUCGAGAAAUACAACCUACCUUCAGAAGCAAUUCUCCUUGCAAUGAGAAGCAGUGCUAAGAAAGCUGCAUUUCCUUCCAGGCGUUUCACAGAAAGUCCCUGCAGUUAGUAACACCGGCUCUUCCAGUGAAACUUGUCUCAAUGAUAUUGAUGUGAUGUGCGUGGCCCCGGUGUGCAAAUACUGCAUUAGAAACACA
Long non-coding RNA from Pristis pectinata (smalltooth sawfish), 503 nucleotides. RefSeq lists it as uncharacterized. The transcript has 3 exons. Lineage: Eukaryota; Metazoa; Chordata; Chondrichthyes; Rhinopristiformes; Pristidae. The record is from RefSeq and is a predicted model, not a curated record.